RNAcentral lists this ribosomal RNA (360 nucleotides) under uncultured soil bacterium. Its description in RNAcentral is "bacterial SSU rRNA". It matches the Rfam family "Bacterial small subunit ribosomal RNA", at positions 26 to 412 of the family's 1533-position model. The record is from RNAcentral.
AGAACGAACGCUGGCGGCAUGCCUAAUACAUGCAAGUCGAACGAACACUUCGGUGUUAGUGGCGCACGGGUGCGUAACGCGUGGGAAUCUGCCCUUGGGUUCGGAAUAACAGUUGGAAACGACUGCUAAUACCGGAUGAUAUCGAAAGAUCAAAGAUUUAUCGCCCAGGGAUGAGCCCGCGUAGGAUUAGCUAGUUGGUGAGGUAAAGGCUCACCAAGGCGACGAUCCUUAGCUGGUCUGAGAGGAUGAUCAGCCACACUGGGACUGAGACACGGCCCAGACUCCGUACGGGAGGCAGCAGUAGGGAAUAUUGGACAAGUGGGCGCAAGCCUGAUCCAGCAAUGCCGCGUGAGUGAUGAA